GAUGAACGCUAGCGGCAGGCUUAAUACAUGCAAGUCGUGGGGCAGCAGGGGUAGCAAUACCCGCUGGCGACCGGCAAACGGGUGCGGAACACGUACGCAACCCUCCUUUAACUGGAGAAUAGCCCCUCGAAAGAGGGAUUAAUACUCCGUAACAUAUAGCUGUGGCAUCACAAUUAUAUUAUAGCUCCGGCGGUUAAAGAUAGGGCGUGCGCCUGAUUAGAUAGUUGGCAGGGUAACGGCCUACCAAGUCUGCGAUCAGUAACUGGUGUGAGAGCACGACCAGUCACACGGGCACUGAGACGACGGGCCCGACUCCUACGGGAGGCAGCAAGUAAGGAAUAUUGGUACAAUGGACGCAAGUCUGAACCAG
RNAcentral lists this ribosomal RNA (370 nucleotides) under uncultured bacterium. RNAcentral describes it as "bacterial SSU rRNA". It matches the Rfam family "Bacterial small subunit ribosomal RNA", at positions 28 to 391 of the family's 1533-position model. The record is from RNAcentral.